RNAcentral lists this RNase P RNA (359 nucleotides) under bovine gut metagenome. RNAcentral describes it as "Bacterial RNase P class A". It matches the Rfam family "Bacterial RNase P class A". Rfam says of the family: Ribonuclease P (RNase P) is a ubiquitous endoribonuclease, found in archaea, bacteria and eukarya as well as chloroplasts and mitochondria. Its best characterised activity is the generation of mature 5'-ends of tRNAs by cleaving the 5'-leader elements of precursor-tRNAs. Cellular RNase Ps are ribonucleoproteins. The record is from RNAcentral.
GGUAAUCGCGCAUGAUGAAUGUGAGGAAAGUCCGGGCAUCAUAGAGUAGGAUGCAAGUUAAUGGCUUGAUACAGUAAUGUAUGGAAAGUGCAACAGAGAAUAAACUUCCCGAUUUUUUUAUUUAACUAACCUCCUUUUAUUUUAUUUAUUGUCGGGUAAAGGUGAAAAGGCAGUGUAAGAGACUACCGCCUGGUCGGUGACGGCGCAGGGCAUGGCAAACCCCAUCUGAUGCAAGUUCAAAAAGAGAUGACAGUUACUCGCUGGUUUUAAGUCUCGGGUAGAACGCUAGAAUUUUUCAGUGAUGAAAAAUCAAAAGAUAGAUGAUUACGAAGAUACAGAACUCGGCUUAUUAACGUGCU